Molecule: ribosomal RNA, 460 nt
Filed under: uncultured bacterium
Lineage: Bacteria
Description: partial 16S ribosomal RNA
Rfam family: Bacterial small subunit ribosomal RNA
Source: RNAcentral
CCUACGGGCGGCAGCAGUGAGGAAUAUUGGUCAAUGGCCGGAAGGCUGAACCAGCCAAGCCGCGUGAAGGAUGACUGCCCUACGGGUUGUAAACCUCUUUUAUAAAGGAAUAAAGUGUGCCACGUGUGCCUUUUUGUAUGUACUUUAUGAAUAAGGAUCGGCUAACUCCGUGCCAGCAGCCGCGGUAAUACGGAGGAUUCGAGCGUUAUCCGGAUUUAUUGGGUUUAAAGGGUGCGUAGGUGGGUUGUUAAGUUAGUUGUGAAAGUUUGCGGCUCAACCGUAAAAUUGCAAUUGAUACUGGCAGUCUUGAGUACAGUUGAGGUAGGCGGAAUUCGUGAUGUAGCGGUGAAAUGCUUAGAUAUCACGAAGAACUCCGAUUGCGAAGGCAGCUUACUAAACUGCCACUGACAUUGAUGCUCGAGAGUGUGGGUAUCAAACAGGAUUAGAUACCCCGGUAGUC